GGCUCUUAGCAGAUGAAGAGAAGCAUUUUAUAUGGCCCCUAUCAAAUUCUACCAGAAAGACUAAUGAUUAAAGAGGUUUGUGUUACAGGAACCAAGACUUCAUAGCACAUGAAAGAAAAUUGUAUCUAGACUUGAUAAAAAUGAGCCACAAACUGCUACAAAAAUCACCAGGACAAGAAAAACUCACUUAGGUGUUUUUAUCCCAUCCACAUGGAGUGUGAAUGGUUAAGUCAGGUGCUGUGUGAAGAAUGGAAACAUGCAACAAUAAAGACACCAGUCCUGGUGGACCUGAUGGCCUAUGUCUGGUGUGGCGGGGGACAGAUAAGUAAACAGAUCGUCCUAUACGGGGUAGCCAACGCUAUCAUCUGAUAGAAGUAAGCAUGAGGUAAUGUAUUAGUCUGUUCUCAUGCUGCUGUAAAGAACUACCCAAGACUGGGUAAUUUAUAAAGAAAAGAGGUUUGAUUGACUCACAGUUCCACAGGCUGUACAGGAGGCAUGGCUUGGGAAGCCUCGAGAAAUUUACAAUCAUGGCGGAAGGCAAAGGGGAAGCCAGCAUGUCUCACAUGGCAGGAGCAGGAGGAAUAGAGAGCAGGAGGAGGUGCUACACAUUUCAAAAAGCCAGAUCUCAUGAGAACUCACUCACUAUCAUGAGAACAGCAAGGGGGAAGUCCGCCCCCAUGAUCCAGUCACCUCCCACCAGACCCCUCCUCCAACACUGGGAUUACAAUUUGACAUGUGAUUUGGGUGGGGACACAGGGUCAAACCAUAUCAGGUAACAAAACUCCAGUCUCAAAAAUGGUAAGUCAAUUUUAUUGCUAUUAUAAUUCUUAAAACUGGUGUUGAUGAUGAUGAUGAUAGCAGUUAUUUGUACAGUAACAUGCCCAAGACAAAUCCCAAGAGAGGAACAUAAACAAAAUCAAGUGGGGAGAUUUGACUUUGCCCAAGUUCUUCUCAACUAGAAAUUUCUAAAGGUGUUUUGUGUGGAGUGCUGCGCUAUGUGCAGUUUUCAGCUAUUCAACCUCAAGGAUGUCAAAUUGUUGGAAGAGAUUCAAAGAAGGAUAAUCAAACUUGGAUGGAGCUGACUUAAAGAAAUGGGCUAACCUCCAGAAAGAAUGCCAUUGAAUCCAGAGAGAGGUGCCGUUGAAUCAGCCCUUGCUGAUGAAGCCUCUUCACUGUACUGCUCAGACCUCUCCAUCCUGGUGGCAAGGGCUUAGACCAUUAUUCAUGGUCUGACUGGCCUCGAGGUGGCUGUCUCGCCUUUGAAAAAGGGCAGACACAGAGCAUGUUCAGAGCACGGAGCCAUACUGUGCGAUUUCUUCAAAGAGAGCUUAACCACAGAAUUUGGAUUAAUGAAUGACGUAACUGCUUCAGGGCAACACACCCUCACUGCAGCUGCUUAGCCCAGGAAGCAGCAAGGUCAAUACAAGGAGAGCCACAGGCCUGGGGAGAUGCAUGCCUUCCUUCCUGGCCACGUGGAUCUCACUACUUAGCCCAGAUGGCCUGCGAGAAGGACAAAGCCAAGCACUUCACAACACUGUCAGUUGCUGUCCUGAAGAAGGUGGCCAGGAGCUCUAGAAGGAUUCAAAGCCCCAGGGAUUUUUGGUUUUUAUGUAUACACUUCUCUUUACAUACUUGUUCCUCAACAUCCAAUCAGCCUUGCAGGGAUGAUGUAAUAGCCAGAAAAAUAAGUGAACAGAAGAUUCCGGGUUCUACUUUAUGCCAAUUUUUCUUAAAUAUCUCAGUCACUAGAAAAAGAUCUAUUUGAAAAUCUUGCUCUGAGCAGUUUCUGUCUUGGGCCCAGUUGUUUGAGGAGCCUGUUGAAUUUUUAAAUUUAUUAGUGUUCCCAUGCUUCAUUCAUUGGCAUAUAUGUAUAUUCUCUAUACUUUAUAAUUACAAGUAAGCUCUUGAUAAUAAAAAGUAACUGUCA
This 1927-nucleotide long non-coding RNA is filed under the name Homo sapiens (human). RNAcentral's name for it is "long intergenic non-protein coding RNA 1050". The record is from RNAcentral. Lineage: Eukaryota; Metazoa; Chordata; Mammalia; Primates; Hominidae.